UACGAGGGGUGCAAGCGUUGCUCGGAAUUAUUGGGCGUAAAGGGUAGGUAGGUGGUCUCAUUUGUCUGGGGUGAAAGCCUUGAGCUUAACUCAAGAAGUGCCCCAGAAACGGUGAGACUGGAGUCUUGGAGAGGGUCGUGGAAUUCCCGGUGUAGCGGUGAAAUGCGCAGAUAUCAGGAGGAACACCAAUGGCGAAGGCAGCACUCUGGGACGUGACUGACGCUGAGACGCGAAAGCGUGGGGAGCAAACAGG
This 253-nucleotide ribosomal RNA is filed under the name uncultured bacterium. RNAcentral describes it as "partial 16S ribosomal RNA". It matches the Rfam family "Bacterial small subunit ribosomal RNA", at positions 524 to 776 of the family's 1533-position model. The record is from RNAcentral.